This 484-nucleotide ribosomal RNA is filed under the name uncultured bacterium. RNAcentral's name for it is "partial 16S ribosomal RNA". It matches the Rfam family "Bacterial small subunit ribosomal RNA", at positions 30 to 507 of the family's 1533-position model. The record is from RNAcentral.
AUUGAACGCUGGCGGCAGGCCUAACACAUGCCAGUCGAGCGGAUGAAGGGAGCUUGCUCCUGGAUUCAGCGGCGGACGGGUGGGUAAUGCCUAUGAAUCUGCCUUGUAUUGGGGGAUAACGUCCUGAAACGGGCGCUAAUACCCCAUCCGUCCUUAUGUAGAAAGUGGGUGAUCUUCGGACCUCUCGCUUUCUUAUGAGCCUAGGUCGGAUUAGCUAGUUGGUUGGGUAAAGGCCUACCAAGGCGACGAUCCGUAACUGUUCUGAGAGGAUGAUCAGUCACACUGGAACUGAGACACGGUCCAGACUCCUACGGGAGGAAGCAGUGGGGAAUAUUGGACAAUGGGCGAAAGCAUGAUACAGCCAUGCCGCGUGUGUGAAGAAGGUCUUCGGAUUGGAAAGCACUUUAAGUUGGGAGGAAGGGCAGUAAGUUAAUACCUUGCUGUUUUGACGUUACCAACAGAAUAAGCACCGGCUAACUUCGUG